GAAGAUGAUGAAGAUGAAGUAUUGGAGGAAUAUUUUGAUGAUAUAUGAAGAAUACAUUUUGAUGAUGAUCUUUUGAAUUUUAAGUUUGAAUUUUCAUAUAAUAGUUCUAAGUUUGAAUUUUAAGAUGUGAUGUUGUGAAUCUUCUACUAUAUGUUAGAAUUUUUAGAUUUUAAGUUUGAAUUUUCAUUAAGUAUAUGACAUAUGUUUUAUAAAUUAUUAUAUAAUUAUAUGUACAAAAACUUAUCCCGCU
This 250-nucleotide long non-coding RNA is filed under the name Lathyrus oleraceus (garden pea). RNAcentral describes it as "Pisum sativum (pea) long non-coding RNA (PSAT_LNC035291)". The record is from RNAcentral. Lineage: Eukaryota; Viridiplantae; Streptophyta; Magnoliopsida; Fabales; Fabaceae.